CCUUAACCUGGGAGAUCUGCCAGCUGCACUGGUGCAGCCAGUGCACAGCCAGGCAAAGCGGAGAGGGGUAGGAGAGGCUGCUUGUCCUCAUCCAGCUGCUGCCACAAGGAGAGAGCAUGAUGGAAGAAAAAAACAAAGACCCAUUUGGAUAGUCUGACAAAAUCUCAGCAGCAAAACCCCGCUCACUUCUUGCAAGAUGAAAGACUGCAACCUCCAGCUGAGGGAACAGAAAUGGAUGACCACCUCAAACUGAUGUUUAAAGGCAAGAAGAAAGACAGGAGGUCUUCAGUAGCAUCACACUACCUGAAAUUAAGG
Molecule: long non-coding RNA, 315 nt
Organism: Numida meleagris (helmeted guineafowl)
Lineage: Eukaryota; Metazoa; Chordata; Aves; Galliformes; Numididae
Exons: 3
Source: RefSeq, a predicted model, not a curated record